UUUUAUGGCUUUGGGCACUGUCCUCCGGGUCCGUUGCGCGGAACCUAACCCCCAGGGGCAGUUCCUCGGACCCGCAGAGUGUGACUUCACUGGUCUGGCCAUGCUUGAAGUUCGCAGGCUGGAAAGCUGGAUGUUGAGAAGCAGUACCCGCACUCAGGCCGGCGGAAAGUCACGUGCUAGAGUUACCUCUCUCCAGGUGGUGUCGCUGUUGCCACACGCAGCGACGGCACAGGCACCAUUGUUAGAGGGCCUGGUGGGCAGAGUGGUCCAGCGGGCAUCACCCAGCACAUUGUCUCAGGUGAAGGAUGCGCCCUUCAGCCCUAUGAGGCUCUUGUCAUCGAAACCCGGAGACUCCACUUGUCCAAGUCCGGCGUCCUGCAUGAGAAGCCAUUUUUAGAGAAUCACUGGCAGCUCAGGGAUGUCAGAGCUUGGUCCCAAGCCACCAGCAUCCUUCCUCGGUAGACACAGUUGUUAGUGCUUGGAUUCAACCGCACUUACUCUAUCACUGUCCAAUUCAAGGUGGCUUAAUGCGAGUCUCCCGCCUUUAGAUCCCCAGCUCGACUCUAGGGGCAUUCAGUGCCUGGUCCUCAUUGCCCGGCCAAUGCAAAAUAUUUGGGAACUACUUCUUUAAUGAAUAAAAUUGAACAC
This 648-nucleotide long non-coding RNA is filed under the name Mus pahari (shrew mouse). RNAcentral describes it as "lncRNA (MGP_PahariEiJ_G0002544.1)". The record is from RNAcentral. Lineage: Eukaryota; Metazoa; Chordata; Mammalia; Rodentia; Muridae.